RNAcentral lists this long non-coding RNA (1989 nucleotides) under Betta splendens (Siamese fighting fish). RNAcentral's name for it is "lncRNA (ENSBSLG00000000471.1)". Lineage: Eukaryota; Metazoa; Chordata; Actinopteri; Anabantiformes; Osphronemidae. The record is from RNAcentral.
AUGAGUCACCCACAACAACCACAAUUGAGGCAACAACCACAGCUGAAGCCACAACAACCACAACUGAGUCACCCACAACAACCACAACUGAGGUCACAACAACCACAACUGAGUCACCCACAACAACCACACCUGAAGCCACAACAACCACAGCUGAAGCCACAACAACCACAACUGAGUCACCCACAACAACCACAACUGAGGCAACAACAACCACAGCUGAGGCCACAACAACCACAGGUGAAGAAACCACAACUGAGACACCCACAACAACCACAACUGAAGCCACAACGACGACAACUGAGUCACCCACAACAACCACAAUUGAGGCAACAACAACCACAGCUGAGGCAACAACAACAACAGCUGAAACCACAACGACCACAACUGAGGCCACAACAACCACAACUGAGUCACCCACAACAACCACAACUGAGUCACCCACAACAACCACAACUGAGGCAACAAAAACCACGACUGAGGCCACAAAAACCACAGCUGAAGAAACCACAACUGAGACACCCACAACAACCACAAUUGAGGCAACAACGACAGCUGAAGCCACAACAACCACAACUGAGUCACCCACAACGAUCACAACUGAGGUCACAACAACCACAACUGAGUCACCCACAACAACCACAAUUAAGGCCACAACAACAACAGCUGAAGCCACAACAACCACAACUGAGUCACCCACAACAACCACAACUGAGGCAACAACAACCACGACUGAGGCCACAAAAACCACAGGUGAAGAAACCACAACUGAGACACCCACAACAACCACAACUGAAGCCACAACGACGACAACUGAGUCACCCACAACAACCACAAUUGAGGCAACAACAACCACAGCUGAGGCAACAACAACAACAGCUGAAACCACAACGACCACAACUGAGGCCACAACAACCACAACUGAGUCACCCACAACAACCACAACUGAGUCACCCACAAAAACCACAACUGAGGCAACAAAAACCACGACUGAGGCCACAAAAACCACAGCUGAAGAAACCACAACUGAGACACCCACAACAACCACAACUGAAGCCACAACGACGACAACUGAGUCACCCACAACAACCACAACUGAGUCAACAACAACCCCAAUUGAGGUCACAACAACCACAGCUGAAGCAACAACAACCACAACUGAGUCACCCACAACAACCACAACUGAAGCCACAACAACCACAACUGAGUCACCCAUAUCGACCACAACUCAGUCACCCACAACUUCCACAACUGAAGUCACAACAACCACAACUGAGUCACCCACAACAACUACAACUGAGGCAACAACAACCACGACUGAGGCCACAAAAACCACAGCUGAAGAAACCACAACUGAGUCACCCACAACAACCACAACUGAAGCCGCAACGACCACAACUGAGUCACCCACAACAACCACAAUUGAGGCAAAGACCACAACAGCUGAGGCCACAACAACAACGACUGAGUCACCCACAACGACCACAACUGAGUUACCCACAUCGACCACAACUGAGUCACCCACAACUACCACAACUGAGGUCACAACAACCACAAAUGAGUCACCCACAACAACCACAAUUGAGGCAACAACGACAUCUGAAGCCACAACAUCCACAACUGAGUCACCCACAACAACCACAACUGAGGCAACAACAACCACGACUGAGGCCACAAAAACCACAGCUGAAGCAACCACAACUGAGUCACCCACAACAACCACAAUUGAGGCAACGACAACCACGACUGAGGCCACAAAAACCACAGCUGACGAAACCAAAACUGAGACACCCACAACAACCACGACUGAAACCACAACGACGACAACUGAGUCACCCACAACAACCACAAUUGAGGCAACAACAACCACAGCUGAGGCAACAACAAAAACAGCUGAAACCACAACGACCACAACUGAGGCCACAACAACCACAACUGAGUCACCCACAACAACCACAACUGAGUCAACAACAACCCCAACUGAGGUAA